RNAcentral lists this ribosomal RNA (234 nucleotides) under uncultured bacterium. Its description in RNAcentral is "partial 16S ribosomal RNA". It matches the Rfam family "Bacterial small subunit ribosomal RNA", at positions 96 to 334 of the family's 1533-position model. The record is from RNAcentral.
UGGCGGACGGGUGAGUAAUGUCUGGGAAACUGCCCAAUGGAGGGGGAUAACUACUGGAAACGGUAGCUAAUACCGCAUAACGUCGCAAGACCAAAGAGGGGACCUUCGGGCCUCUUGCCAUCGGAUGUGCCCAGAUGGGAUUAGCUAGUAGGUGGGGUAACGGCUCACCUAGGCGACGAUCCCUAGCUGGUCUGAGAGGAUGACCAGCCACACUGGAACUGAGACACGGUCCAG